Molecule: long non-coding RNA, 1482 nt
Filed under: Marmota monax (woodchuck)
Lineage: Eukaryota; Metazoa; Chordata; Mammalia; Rodentia; Sciuridae
Source: RNAcentral
GUAAACACAGUAAAUUAUUUAUUAGAAUAUAACAUACCAAUAUUUAAUAAUGUAUCAAUUUUGACAUAAAAGAUGACAGACAUCAGUGUGGCAUUGCAUGCUUCUGAUCCCAGCAUUUCAGGAGGCUGAGGCAGGAGGAACCAAAGUUCAAGUACAGUCUCUGCAACUUAUCAAGACCCUGUUUCCAAAAAAAAAAAAAGAACUUCUAGUUUAAUUCCCAUUAUAAAAAAUAACAAUAACAAAAUGAAGGACACCUCAUGUAAUUCAUUAAUUUACCCAGAACACUGUACUGUGGAUGCAUAAAUGGAAAUUGAAUAUAAUGUUAAACACAGUGGGUAGGUAGAAAGAAUUGAGGGCUUUCUUUUUUCCAUUCAGGAGAAUUAAAUUGUUUGUUGAUUACACAUGAAAAUGGAUGAUGGACAAGCUUCAUUCCCAUCUGUUAAGUGUACAGUAUCAUUAUUCAAUUUAGAUAUUGCAUAGGAUGUGUCAACAAUCAUUUUUAUAACCAAAUAAUUCCAUGACUGUGCUUGUGUGACCCUUUCAAUGGUGAACUUCAAAAGGUCACAACUACACCAAGCUGUGUGAACCUGGUAUUAUCCCAAAUGACUUCUAACUUCACACUUUUGUGGAAGUUUUACCAAGAUGGCUUCAGAGUAGACUAACUUUACAUAGCACAUAUAAAAAAAGACAUAUUUAUUCAGUGUCAUAAUCAGACUAUUACAUUUAGCAAUUAACAUCAUGGGUGCAAAAAAAAAAGAGAAAAGAAGUCUACAUUAAAACCCUUUGUGCUUUACACUUUCCACAGAACAGAAACUAAAAUAAUCUGUUAUACCAAUAGUCACAAAUACAGUACUUGAAAUGUUUUUUUUCCCAUAUACAUGAGUAUUGUCUAAACCAUGUCUUCUUUGUAGCAGCGAGGCCCUGCCCCAGUGUGCUUGGCUGAGUUCACAAAUCUGUUGUAACCUGUAGCUUCCCUGUCACUUCCUCUCCUGCUAAGCUUUGUUUCCUGGCAACAUUAAAACCUUCUUCCAUUGUCAUAGCUACUGCUGCUGCUGGAACUACCAGAGCCUCUUGGUUUGGUGGUUUGGCAGAGUAUUGUCCUCCACCACCAUCAGGUCCGGAGUUUCUCUGCCUCCAAAGUUUCCACCCUUCAUGGGUUCAAAAUUUGAUGACUGAUUGUUGUCAUUGCCAGAAUCAUUGUAGCCUUUACCACUUCCAAAAUUGCUUCUGUCACUACCAAAUCUACUGUAGCCAACCCCACUGCCACCAUAUCCAACACCACCAUGGCUGCCACCAAAAUUGUCAUUUACACCAAAACCACCUCCAUAAUCACCACCAAACUUUCUACAACCAUGUCAACUUUUUUGGCCAGCUCUUACGUUGACAGGGCUUUCCUCACUUCACAGUUGUGGCCUUCACAGUAUGGCAUUUCUGAACGACAAUCUUAUUCACAGAGUCGUGAUCAUCAAAAGUUGAAAAAGC